GGUGUGUGGACCGGCUCAUCUGCUAUCAGGAAGCUCACCUGUUCACAACUCAGCUGAAGAUUUCUGCUCGAACUGUUUGGAGGAAGCUCUGAGAUGGACAGACACGGUCACGGUGGACAUGGUCAUCAUGGACACGGUCAUCAUGGACAUGGACAUGGUCAUCAUGGACACGGUCAUCAUGGACAUGGUCAUCAUGGACACGGUCAUCAUGGACAUGAGCACGGUCAUCAUGGACAUGGACACGGUCAUCAUGGACAUGAGCAUGAGGGACACAAACACGGGUUCCUCCACAAGCUGAGACACAAGCACAGGUGUGGUCACAGACACCUCAAAUGUCACAAGAAGGGGAGGGACGGUCGCGGGUACGACAGCAGCUCCUGCAGCAGUGACUCUGAUUAGAAGAAGCCUGAGAAGCAGCUUCAUCUCUGCUUUUACAAUAAUUUGACUAAUUUACCUGUAAUCAAAUUUGGUGUCUUUGGGUAAUGGGAGUUUUUAUCUGCCUGUAAAACAGAAUGGAGUAAUACUUUGUGUGGCUUUUUAAUAAAACCUGAAAUAAUAAAAAUCUGAGUGAAAACAUAA
Molecule: long non-coding RNA, 579 nt
Organism: Austrofundulus limnaeus
Lineage: Eukaryota; Metazoa; Chordata; Actinopteri; Cyprinodontiformes; Rivulidae
Exons: 4
Source: RefSeq, a predicted model, not a curated record